CCAUCCGUAAAUCGUCUAAGAUUCACUUUCCUGCGCUUAUUUACAUAAUCGCUCGCUCUCCCCCUCUCGAUAACCUUUCUCGCACCCGUCUCCUCAUCCCUUCACGGAUUCUCCAUUUCUUCUUCACUAACACUUCCAAUCGAAUCUUCCUGUAACCAUAGUCUCUCAUUCCCAACCUCAUAUCUUUUCCUCCAACUCUCUACGUCGGCUCUACACCACCGUAAGAAGUCAAAUGCUAGAUACUGUUACAAUGUUUGGAAGUUUGGAUUUACAAUAUCUCUUGCCUCCAUCGUUAUCAACUCAACCACAGUUCUCUUCCAACUCACUUGAAUCAGCUCCUCCCUCUUCAGCCCUCUCUUUCCAUAUCCUUCCUCGAUCGACGCCUCUCUUUCUCUCUUUUUUUUUUUUUUCUUUUUUUUUUCUCUAUCUCCUUAACUUAUUUAUACUCACCCUUGUGACUCA
RNAcentral lists this long non-coding RNA (462 nucleotides) under Carica papaya (papaya). RNAcentral describes it as "long non-coding RNA (CPAP_LNC012655)". Lineage: Eukaryota; Viridiplantae; Streptophyta; Magnoliopsida; Brassicales; Caricaceae. The record is from RNAcentral.